Molecule: ribosomal RNA, 388 nt
Filed under: uncultured bacterium
Lineage: Bacteria
Description: bacterial SSU rRNA
Rfam family: Bacterial small subunit ribosomal RNA
Source: RNAcentral
AAUGAACGCUGGCGGCGCGCCUAAUACAUGCAAGUCGAGCGAGAAGACGUAGCAAUACGUUUGUAAAGCGGCGAACGGGUGAGGAAUACAUGGGUAACCUACCCUAGAGUGGGGAAUAACUAGCCGAAAGGUUAGCUAAUACCGCGUACGCUCCUUGGACCUCGGUUCAGGGAGGAAAGCGAUGCCGAGGGUAUCGCGCUCUUGGAUGGGCUCAUGUCCUAUCAGCUGUUGGUGAGGUAACGGCUCACCAAGGCUUCGACGGGUAGCUGGUCUGAGAGGACGAUCAGCCACACUGGCACUGCGACACGGGCCAGACUCCUACGGGAGGCAGCAGUAAGGAAUAUUGCGCAAUGGGCGAAAGCCUGACGCAGCGACGCCGCGUGGGGGA